AAUAAAACUUAUUCGGAGUUACCACAAGAUUGGGAAGGGGCAUGUGUAUUAGGUAUGCCAAAGCCAUCCUUCUUCUUGUUGCCGAUCGAAACAGGAGAGACCUUGGGAGUUAAGGUUUACGAUGUAAAUCAUAAAAGGGAGAGAGCAUCCUUGAAUAUAGGUAGCUGGGAAGAUAAUGAGUGGCCCCCUCAACGUAUUAUUAAUUAUUAUGGACCUACUACUUGGGCAGAAGAUGGUACUUAUGGAUAUAGAACUCCGAUUAUAUAUGCUCAACCGCAUUAUUAGACUACAGGCGGUAGUUGAGAUUAUUACUAAUGAGACAGCUCAAGUGCUUAAUCUUCUAGCUAAGCAAAAUACCAAGAUGUGAUCAGCCAUAUACCAGAAUAGGCUAGCCCUUGAUUACUUACUAGCAGUAGAAGGAGGUGUAUGCGGAAAGUUUAAUCUAAGUAACUGUUGUCUGCACAUAGAUGAUGAAGGGCAGGCAGUGGCUGAACUUACAAGCCACAUGGUUAAAUUUGAGCAUGUACCUAC
Pelobates cultripes (western spadefoot toad) is the source of this 531-nucleotide non-coding RNA. The record is from the annotation of a GenBank genome assembly. NCBI's taxonomy places the organism in Eukaryota, Metazoa, Chordata, Amphibia, Anura, Pelobatidae.